CGCGCCCAGGCGGCGCGCGCGGAAUCAGUUGAGUCUCUUCGGUUCCCGGCUCUUUCUCCUGCGCUUUUGAAGACCAGACUGCAAAUAUAUUACCAGGGAUGGUUUUGUGUUGUCCUACAGACUUCUUAAAUUUGACAAAAAUUCAGCUGAACUUGUAACCAACAGCUUUGUCUGAACUUGAAGUCAAAAUGUGUUGUUAAUAAGAGAUUCUAGCUAUUGCUUUUACCUUCAGUGUGAACCAGUGUGGUAAUAAUUUUGAAAAAGCAGGCUGGACACAGUGGCUCAUGCCUGUAAUCCCAGAAUUUUGGGAGGCCGAGACGGGCACAUCAUUUGAGGUCAGGAGUUCAAGACCAGCCUGGCCAACAUGGUGAAACCCCAUCUCUAUUAUAUAAGAAAUUAGCAGGGCAUGGUGGCACAUGCCUGUGAUCCCAGCUACUGAGGAGGCUGAGGCAGGAGAAUCACUUGAACCCAGAAGGCGGAAGUUGCAGUGAGCCGAGACAGUGCCACCGUACUCUAGCCUGGGCGACAGAGCAAGACUCCAUCUCAAAAAAAAAAAAAAAAAAAAACUUGAAAAGGCAAACAUGAUUGAAUAUCUGAAAAGCUUUAAAAGUGCCCUUUCUGUUACAUAUGUGGCACAAAUGGCUCAUGAGAGCAGGACAUUUAUGGUCUUGUGUCCUAUACUUCAUGUCUGAUGCCAUCAGAAAUGUUAUGGAUUCUGGAUUUAACACACUUAGAGUGAUAUGAUCCCUCAGGACUGCACCACAGAGUAAACACAACCUUUAUAUGGUGGCGAAUAUGUGUGUCUUUCUUGUUUCAUUUGUGGUUGGGGACAAAAUCGAUGUUUUUGUCUAAAUAGUCAAUAUUCAUCUUAACAUGUUUGGCUGUGUAAUCACCGGCUAUAUUGUGAACUGUGCAAUAAAAC
Molecule: long non-coding RNA, 922 nt
Filed under: Homo sapiens (human)
Lineage: Eukaryota; Metazoa; Chordata; Mammalia; Primates; Hominidae
Description: non-protein coding lnc-MRGPRX4-1:5
Source: RNAcentral